Non-coding RNA from Paramisgurnus dabryanus, 2643 nucleotides. NCBI's taxonomy places the organism in Eukaryota, Metazoa, Chordata, Actinopteri, Cypriniformes, Cobitidae. The record is from RefSeq and is a predicted model, not a curated record.
UGGAAGGCAUUAAACUUUGGUGAAAAUCAUGAAAAACGCUGGCGCUGGCAACUUUUUUUUAAAACGCUGGUGGUGAAAGAGUUCAUUUGGCGAAGAAGAAAACUUUUAGCUAAGAUAGCUUCUGUCGUUUUGGUACGGGUGUGGCCAAACAUCCAAACGCUUUGCUAUGGCAUGUCUUUAUUCUGGCCACACUGAACCCAGUUGCACCUGUCCACGCACACCUAUUGAUUCAGCUAAAUAAUCAGCCGCAAGAUUGAUCUGUUUGCAACUAGUAUGCAAAUCACACAUAAUAAGACACCGAGAGAUAAAUCCAGCAAUCACCGUCUGAUCAUACAGAACCGAGGUGAAAAUCUGUAAAACUAAGCGGAGAGUGAGAAAUUAAAUCACGCCUGGACGCAUCAGCAAAUCUGACUGCAAUUAAUGGUGUGGAUGAAUGCAGUCACCUCUAUCUCAUAUGACCAAGGUCCUCUGGGUCAUUUUCAUUAACCACUAUAAUUAUUUCUAGAAAUCUAAUUAGCAAAGAGGGAUUUUGCACAUUUUAUUGAAAAAGACAAAGCAAUGUCAAUUCACGGAUAUUUGAGCGGCCUUCCGUAGAUGGCAGCCAGAGUGGGCGGGGCCAAAUCGACUGUGUUUGUGUUGUAAUACCUGUCUCUCUGUUUUCAGUGUUUUCUCGAGCAUCUGUUUGUCUUCUCCUCCUGGUAGGGAAUAUUCAGAGUUGUGUGUAUGGAACUCUGAAGCGGAAUGCUUCUGAAGUGCUGUCGUCUGUGUUGGAUGCAGACUGAAGAAAAUUUUCCUGGACGCCAUUUUGUGAAACUUUCGUAAAUAUCACAAAAAAUGCUGGCGGGCAACUUUUCAAAAAAAGGCUGAAGGUGAAUGAGCUAAGGCACAAUAUGUUGGAUUGUCACCACUAGAGGUCGCUAUUUCACAAUGACAAAGGCGAAGCUUACAGUUCUGAAGGAGAAUGGAGCGAUCGUAGAUGUUGUUUUCACCAUCCAGAGAUGUAUGGAAUUUGCUAAUAAUAUUCAUGGAUGAGUUUCUACAACCAAAAAUGCAGGAUAGCAAGGGAGACAAGGGAUGAGCAUUUAAAAUAGAAAUGUUCUGGAUUUACAAAUCCUUGGGAACGUUUGGAAUAAUAAAUCCGUGACGGCACACCGGUUAUCUGCUUCACAGCAGAUGUACGGGCCCGUGGACACUUGAUGACCACAUGAAAGAGAAGCCGGCUUCAGAAGUGUGUACUGCUGUAACCACUGACGAACGACUUCAAAGACGCCGCUACACAACAUGACAGGCGACGGACGCCCGAUCCUUUGAGACCAAGAGAAAAAUUUACUGUCUAUUUCGAUACUAUUCUUUUUUUAUCAUCAGAGAUUUCCUUCUACUGUACAUCUACUAGCGAGGUCUGAUGUGUUUAUACCAAAGUCGAUUUUUUUAUGCCAUUUAGGCAGCUGUGAAUUUCAAACACUUUGAUUUCUGAGGAGUUCUAAAGGAACGCCGACCAUAAGCCCCGAAGGUAGAAGUUGUUUAUUCGCUCUCACAUAUAUAUUAAUCUAAUCAAUUUACAGCCAGCGCCGAAUCCAGAUCGGCUGGACGGAGAGACUGUAUUUUUCCCUUAAAAAUAAAACGAAAGGGAUCAGACGGCUAACAGCUAAGCUAUUUAAAUUCAACACUGUGCAUGGUGGAGAUCAGAUUGAUUGUGCAUUGUUGGGUUUAUAAAGUCUUUUCAAGGACGGUGGAAAACUAGAUAAUCUAUGGCGAAUGGAACAAAAGUUGAGAUUUUUAUUAUCUACCCAUUGGAGCUGCUUUCUUGCAUCCAUUUCUGAAAAAAAAUCAAUUGCAUGCGUAGUCAUCUCUGACUUUCAUCAGAAGAAAAGACUCUCCUGUUGCUUUGAGACGCAGACUUUUUUUGGCAACGUCACACAAGUUUGAAAACAAGUCAAAGAGCUGCAUGGGUACACGUGUACGUAUUUGUGUGUGUAUGGAGGAUGCGCAUAUUUGUAGUGUCAUCUCGCCAUCAAAUAUGACUUAUUAAAAUGAAAUUACUUAGCUCUCUGACCCAUGGCAGAUAGCACAAGCUGCAAUUUGUCUAACAGUUGAGCUGUGAACAAAAUCUGAUUGGCAAUAAUUUAGCUUUACAGUUGCUAUACCCCGUGCUGCCCCAUCCCCCAGAGCAGCCGUCGUCUGUGCCAUCCCAAUGUGUGUGUGUGUGUUGUGCUCACAUGCAGGAGAAACAUGGCAGAUAGGAGCUGGAGGUCACUGAGCCAAGCUGCGUGUGAUGAUGGCAAGUCUCCCGGGGCUGAUGGGAAAUGUAAAUGCUGACGGCUCUUCUCUGAUGAUGGUUGGGAGAAGAGGAGAAGAGGAAGGUGGUGAUGAAGGAUGUUUGUGUGUGUUGGGAUAGGGAUGGGGGGAUUGCUCAGUGAGGCACAACAAUUCCGCAGGGCUGUGUUUUCACUGUGUCGACAGCCACCUGCCAUCCCAGCUCUAUUUCUCUCUCUCUCUCGCUUCUUACUUCUUACUUUUAGAUUGCUGUGUGUUUCAUUUAUAAAGAGCCUCUGUUCUAGGAGUGCCUGUGGUUUGUAGGAAAGUGCUAACAUUGUCUUGUCUAGUUUGUAACAAACGUACAUUUCAGAGACCCACUUUAUUAGA